Long non-coding RNA from Poeciliopsis prolifica (blackstripe livebearer), 245 nucleotides. RefSeq lists it as uncharacterized. Lineage: Eukaryota; Metazoa; Chordata; Actinopteri; Cyprinodontiformes; Poeciliidae. The transcript has 3 exons. The record is from RefSeq and is a predicted model, not a curated record.
GUGGAGGAAGAAAAGUGAUGACAGAUGAUGGUCACACACCCAGUGAGGGUAUUUAAAGUCUGCACUUCCAUCCCUGAUCAUCCUGGUUCCAGGUCCUGCUGCUGAGACGACUUCACUGCUCACAACCCAAAGAACGAUGGCCUCAGUUCUCUACUUGGCGUUGCUCCUCUCUCUGAGCUGCGUUCUCUGGAGCGGAGCCGAUGUGAGUCUGCCUUCUUCUUUUCUCAUGUGGAAAACAUUAUAAA